RNAcentral lists this ribosomal RNA (64 nucleotides) under Diplodia seriata. Its description in RNAcentral is "partial 28S ribosomal RNA". It matches the Rfam family "Eukaryotic large subunit ribosomal RNA", at positions 1 to 63 of the family's 3401-position model. Lineage: Eukaryota; Fungi; Ascomycota; Dothideomycetes; Botryosphaeriales; Botryosphaeriaceae. The record is from RNAcentral.
UUGACCUCGGAUCAGGUAGGGAUACCCGCUGAACUUAAGCAUAUCAAUAAGCGGAGGAAAUCUA